Molecule: ribosomal RNA, 210 nt
Filed under: uncultured bacterium
Lineage: Bacteria
Description: partial 16S ribosomal RNA
Rfam family: Bacterial small subunit ribosomal RNA
Source: RNAcentral
AGUUCAGAUUGCAGGCUGNAACCCGCCUGCAUGAAGUCGGAAUUGCUAGUAAUCGCGGAUCAGCAUGCCGCGGUGAAUACGUUCCCGGGCCUUGUACACACCGCCCGUCACACCAUGGGAGCCGGUAAUACCCGAAGUCAGUAGUCCAACCACGUGAGGACGCUGCCGAAGGUAGGAUUGGCGACUGGGGUGAAGUCGUAACAAGGUACC